RNAcentral lists this transfer RNA (76 nucleotides) under Gordonia phage Phendrix. Its description in RNAcentral is "tRNA-Glu". It matches the Rfam family "tRNA". Rfam says of the family: Transfer RNA (tRNA) molecules are approximately 80 nucleotides in length. Their secondary structure includes four short double-helical elements and three loops (D, anti-codon, and T loops). The record is from RNAcentral. Lineage: Duplodnaviria; Heunggongvirae; Uroviricota; Caudoviricetes.
GUCGGAGUUACUCUGUUGGUAAGGGUACCGAGAUUUUCACUCUCGGCUUCGCGGGUUCGAUUCCCGUCUCCGAUAC